Long non-coding RNA from Neoarius graeffei (lesser salmon catfish), 445 nucleotides. RefSeq lists it as uncharacterized. NCBI's taxonomy places the organism in Eukaryota, Metazoa, Chordata, Actinopteri, Siluriformes, Ariidae. The transcript has 3 exons. The record is from RefSeq and is a predicted model, not a curated record.
ACGGGACAUGCUGUUGAAGGACAGUGAUCAACAACAGGUUGAUGUGAUGCUGCUUGGAAUGAAGUGGAGUUACUGUUACCACCCCAAAGCUGGAACCAUUGUCAACUACUGUGAGCUGCUGUAAUAGAAAAUCAAUCAACACCUUUUGACCAAUCAGAAUUGAGAAUUCAACAGCACUGUAGUCGAAUUACUGUGACACUGAGAGCCGAUCAGUAAUCACUAGAGUCACAUCAUGUCCAUAGACUGGAUAAAAUCAAGUUCAGUGAUUUUUCAGCAGCAUUAACUGAACACGAUCAGUUGAUGGCAGAAUGGAAGGAGGCGGUUCUUCUGGGGAAUGAACGCACUCAUGGCUAUAGCUAGAACCCAUGUUUCAGUUUUCUGAAAGGAAUAAAGAUUUGUUUCGUUUUAAAUGUUUGCUUUGUUUGCCUAAAACGGAGCACAUCAC